GACAUAUCUUUCGUUACACUUCCGCCGUUGCGCUCAACAUUGUCACUUCGGGCGAGAGACACGAAUAUUUUUAAGAAUUUUAUAGACGAAUAUACCAUAUUUUGACGUUCUAUAAAUCAACUUCAAAAGGACUAUUUGGCGCCAGCGUAUGACGCCGGCCACGCCGUUCCAUUCACAUUCAUUACGAACAUCCUGUACGUCUGAUCGCGAGAAAUAGUAAUCGAGGUGAUCGGCAUCCUGUGGAAGAAACUCCAGCGUACCAGUGAUCAGUAGAUUCUUGUAAUUCGUCAACACUACAAUCUUCAAUGGCAUAUCGCGAUCGCGAACGCAAUGACAGACGAGGUGGUGGUGCACGUGGAGGUGGUCGAUUUGGCGGACGAGAUAGCGGCGGAGGAGGCGGAGGUGGCGGCAGUAGAUUCGGCAGCAGCGGUGGAAGCAGAGACAACGGUUUCGGCAACAGUAGCUUCAAGAACCGUCAGCCUGGCGAACGUCUUCGUAAACCGCGAUGGGAUAUGAGCACGUUGCAACCAUUCAGAAAAGACUUCUACCAACCACAUCCAAAUGUAAUGACAAGGAGUCUUCACGCAGUGGAGGCAUACCGUGUGAAUAAGGAGAUUACGGUGAAGGGAACUAACGUCCCAGGUCCCAAUAUUUAUUUCGAAGAAGGUGGUUUCCCGGAUUAUGUUCUCAAUGAGAUCCGCAGGCAAGGUUUCGGUGAACCAACCGCGAUUCAAGCGCAAGGUUGGCCCAUUGCCUUGUCCGGUCGCGACAUGGUCGGUAUAGCGCAAACUGGCUCGGGAAAGACAUUGGCGUAUAUUCUACCUGCGAUCGUACACAUCAAUCAUCAGCCCCGAUUGAGCAGAAACGACGGUCCGAUCGCGUUGAUUCUUGCGCCGACUCGGGAAUUGGCGCAGCAAAUUCAGCAAGUGGCAUCAGACUUCGGUAUGUCCUCGCAAGUGCGAAACACGUGUAUCUUUGGCGGUGCUCCAAAAGGACCACAAGCACGUGAUCUCGAGCGUGGAGUAGAGAUUUGCAUCGCUACUCCUGGACGUUUGAUAGAUUUUUUGGAACGUGGCACUACAAAUUUACGUAGGUGUACGUAUCUAGUGCUGGACGAAGCUGAUAGGAUGCUUGAUAUGGGCUUUGAGCCGCAAAUUAGGAAAAUUGUAGAACAAAUUCGACCCGACCGUCAGACACUCAUGUGGUCCGCUACAUGGCCGAAGGAAGUGCGUAAUCUCGCGGAGGAAUUUUUAACGGACUACAUACAGAUCAAUAUUGGUUCGCUGCAACUGGCUGCCAAUCACAAUAUCCUCCAGAUCGUGGAUGUGUGCGAAGAAUAUGAGAAGGAGGGUAAACUCAUGAAACUAUUGGAGGAGAUCUCCAAUGAACCGGAAAAUAAGACUAUAAUAUUUGUGGAGACUAAGAGGAAAGUGGAUGAUAUAACAAGAGCUAUUAAUAGAUACGGAUGGCAGGCAAUUGGCAUCCAUGGAGACAAAAGCCAACAAGAGAGAGACUAUGUACUAAACCAGUUCCGGAAUAGCAGAUCAGCGAUCCUAGUGGCUACUGACGUGGCGGCGAGAGGUCUAGAGGCACAUGCGACGGAGUUUUAUCAAUGAUAAGAACUCUGGAGAGCUUGCUUGGAAAAUAUAUUUGAAUGGGGCGUGACUGCUGGUCUCCGCCCCCUCGCAACAAGCUAUUGUAACGCUGUGCCUCGGCCCACCGUGCCACUCGAAAAACCCUCUCACUCUGUACCUGCGACGGUCCAAAGUAUGGAGAUAUCGUAAUGUUAGGGCGUCUAGCAUGCCAGGACAACCAAAACAAAACAAAAAAAAUGAUAUGCGAAGGGAUAGAGAUUAUUGCCGGUUCCAUUCGUUGCAAUAGUAGAUCGUAACAAAUUACAUCAAGUUGCAUUGCAAUAAUCGUGAUGCCCUGGACCCGGGCGAUUAUCGACCAUCGUUUCUUUUUUUCUUUUUUUUUUCUUUUUUUUAUGCUGAAAUUACCAACAGUACACUGAUGAGCGUGAACUUCGCGCCGCACAUUUUAUAACUUCGGCCGGACAAUUGGACGAGGAAUAACCACACAGUGAUUGUCGACAAUAAUUUCAGCAUCAAAGUGUAUGAAGGGAGUUGUUCACAAUAUUGCAGUGCGUAAUUCUUGAUGCUAAUUGUUCAAUGGAGUACGCGCGUGGGGUUGAGUGGAGAACACACGCAAGACGCACGCUUGGUGUUCCAACCAUUCCAACCGGAGCAGUGUACAAGGACCAAAUUUUGAAAUACCAGCCGAGAUCCAUACUUUGGUGCGGUAGAGAAGGGUGUAACGUUUGCAUAAGAAUAAUACUAUAGAGCUCGCUAAAUACGUGAAGCGAGAAUUCCAUGAGAACCAUCUGAGCUCUGAUUCCUCUACAUUUCCAAAACAAAUGUAUUUACAUUUCCAGCUCUAGUCGCAAACAGAUGUCGAGGAUGUCAAAUUUGUGAUUAACUUGGACUAUCCGUCCAACUCUGAGGACUAUGUGCACCGUAUCGGACGUACGGGCCGCUCGCAGCGUACGGGAACAGCGUACGCCUUUUUCACUCCUGGCAAUGCGCACAAGGCUAGUGACUUAAUUCAAGUUCUCGAAGAGGCUAAGCAAGUUGUCA
RNAcentral lists this unclassified non-coding RNA (2636 nucleotides) under Harpegnathos saltator (Jerdon's jumping ant). RNAcentral's name for it is "aTP-dependent RNA helicase dbp2, transcript variant X1". The record is from RNAcentral. Lineage: Eukaryota; Metazoa; Arthropoda; Insecta; Hymenoptera; Formicidae.